GAUGAACGCUGGCGGCGUGCCUAAUACAUGCAAGUCGAGCGAACAGACGAGGCGCUUGCUCCUCUGACGUUAGCGGCGGACGGGUGAGUAACACGUGGAUAACCUACCUAUAAGACUGGGAUAACUUCGGGAAACCGGAGCUAAUACCGGAUAACAUAUUGAACCGCAUGGUUCAAUAGUGAAAGACGGUUUUGCUGUCACUUAUAGCUGGAUGCGCGCUGCAUUAGCUAGUUGGUAAGGUAACGGCUUACCAAGGCAGCGAUGCGUAGCCGACCUGGGAGGGUGAUGGGCCACACUGGAGCUGGGACGCGGCCCAGGCUCCUAGGGGAGGCAGAAGUAGGGAAUCUUCCGCGAUGGGCGGAAGCCUGACGGAGCAACGCCGCGUGAGUGAUGAAGGUCCUCGGAUCGUAAAACUCUGUUAUUAGGGAAGAACAAUUGUGUAAGUAACUAUGCACGUCUUGACGGUACCUAAACAGAAAGCCACGGCUAACUACGUG
RNAcentral lists this ribosomal RNA (497 nucleotides) under uncultured bacterium. RNAcentral describes it as "partial 16S ribosomal RNA". It matches the Rfam family "Bacterial small subunit ribosomal RNA", at positions 28 to 507 of the family's 1533-position model. The record is from RNAcentral.